GCAGUCGACGGUAGGCCCUUUCGGGGGUACACGAGUGGCGCACGGGUGAGUAACACGUGGGUAAUCUGCCCUGCACUUCGGGAUAAGCCUGGGAAACCGGGUCUAAUACCGGAUAUGAGCUCCUGCCGCAUGGUGGGGGUUGGAAAGUUUUUCGGUGCACGAUGAAUCCGCGGCCUAUCAGCUUGUUGGUGGGGUAAUGGCCUAGCAAGGCGACGACGGGUAGCCGGCCUGAGAGGGUGAUCGGCCACACUGGGACUGAGACACGGCCCAGACUCCUACGGGGAGGCAGCAGUGGGGAAUAUUGCACAAUGGGCGAAAGCCUGAUGCAGCGACGCCGCGUGGGGGAUGACGGUCUUCGGAUUGUAAACUCCUUUCAGUAGGGACGAAGCGAAAGUGACGGUACCUGCAAAAGAAGCACCGGCCAACUACGUGCCAUGAGCCGCGGUAAUACNUAGGGUGCAAGGGUUGCCCGGNAUUNCUGGGCGUAAGGAGCUGGUAAGCGGUUGGUCNGGUCUUCGG
RNAcentral lists this ribosomal RNA (519 nucleotides) under Dietzia sp. RNAcentral's name for it is "bacterial SSU rRNA". It matches the Rfam family "Bacterial small subunit ribosomal RNA", at positions 57 to 594 of the family's 1533-position model. The record is from RNAcentral. Lineage: Bacteria; Bacillati; Actinomycetota; Actinomycetes; Mycobacteriales; Dietziaceae.